Molecule: long non-coding RNA, 901 nt
Organism: Helianthus annuus (common sunflower)
Lineage: Eukaryota; Viridiplantae; Streptophyta; Magnoliopsida; Asterales; Asteraceae
Exons: 4
Source: RefSeq, a predicted model, not a curated record
CAUUAAUGUAAAGGAUAUUCUGGGUCAUGAUGGAACAUUCACAGUUCAGAGAAAAGUCUCAACCUAUGAACGAGAGAUUUUGGCAGCGUGUAAUCUUGAAGAAAAUGGUGUAAAUCUCGGGCAUAUAAUGACUGGAUCAGCAAAUAAUAAUCAAACUGUCAAUGGCAUAAGCUUAAAAAAAGAAGAAAAUCUAUCAAGCUUCUUGAGUUUUUUUAACAUUCUUGUUACAUUACUGAGAUUCAAGACAAGGUUGCAACAGAAAUCGAAAAAACAACAAAAAUGAGAAACAAUGUCACAAAUGUUGUAGAAUUUGCAAACGGUGUGAGUGAAGAAAGCCUACAAAAGAUGCAGAAUCUUCAUGCAGAUUUCAACGGAACUAUCAUGCAGUUCCAGUGGAUGAAACUUUUAGGUGGAAACAAUACCAUCAGACGCAAGAUUUAUAUGCUUUGCGGGGUGAUGAUGUAUCUACUGGUUAUGAUGUGAAGAAAGGAGAUUACCAUACCUUAUCAGCCAUAUGCAAUAGGGAGGGUCAAGUUUGAUGCAUUCGAACCAGAAAGAUGGUUUCAUCACAUUGUUGCUUUCAUCCACAAAGCUUCUUUAAGUUUACAGUUUUGCAGUCAACCUUCAAGUUAUGUCAUAUGACCAAAGCAAAAGUUUUGACAUGAUUUACUAUUUUGAUGAAGAAACACAAGAGGGACAAAGAAUUUGUUUGGCUCAAGAAUUUGCGUAUGUGCAGAUGAAGAUCUUUGUUUCUAUUUAGUUAAGUUAUUUCAAUUUCAAGGUGAAUGAAAACAAAAGUGCAAAUGCUUAAUCUUCACAUUGAUGGUGAAACAGAGUUGAUCCAUGAUCUAGCAUACUCGUAUUUGGUGCAAUUAGACACACGGAAGUGGAUUGGAAAAUG